CCUACGGGGGGCAGCAGUGGGGAAUAUUGCACAAUGGGGGAAACCCUGAUGCAGCAACGCCGCGUGAGUGAUGAAGGUCUUCGGAUUGUAAAGCUCUGUCUUUGGGGACGAUAAUGACGGUACCCAAGGAGGAAGCCACGGCUAACUACGUGCCAGCAGCCGCGGUAAUACGUAGGUGGCAAGCGUUAUCCGGAUUUACUGGGCGUAAAGGGAGCGUAGGCGGAUACUUAAGUGGGAUGUGAAAUACCCGGGCUCAACCUGGGUGCUGCAUUCCAAACUGAGUAGCUAGAGUGUGGGAGAGGAGAGUGGAAUUCCUAGUGUAGCGGUGAAAUGCGUAGAGAUUAGGAAGAACACCAGUGGCGAAGGCGACUCUCUGGACCAUAACUGACGCUGAGGCUCGAAAGCGUGGGGAGCAAACAGGAUUAGAUACCCCAGUAGUCUGA
Molecule: ribosomal RNA, 443 nt
Filed under: uncultured bacterium
Lineage: Bacteria
Description: bacterial SSU rRNA
Rfam family: Bacterial small subunit ribosomal RNA
Source: RNAcentral